GCUGUUAUGUUAUUGCUAAGCCGGAAAGAAAGCAUGUGAAUAUUUUUUUGGCACGGCGUCGUUUGCAAAGUGCACUUCCUUGUUCUGACCUUGCCUUUUAUCGGCUGGAGCGAUAUGAUACGUGAUAUGCCACGGCGAAGUUGUCGAAGAUGCGACGGUGCUACGCUGUUAGAACAAUUCAUCGGAGCAUUCAAGUGUUACCUAUUAUAAGCUGUCAAAAGACCAAGCAGUGCGAAGCUCUUGGCUGACAAUGGUGCCUGCUAAUUUCCACUGCAAGGAUUUCGACCACGAAUGUUAUCAUAGGUUACGCGCGACUCCAGAGGCAAUUUGGAAUCUCGGCACGAAAUCGUCUGAUGAAAAUCUGAGGUGCCGACGCACAACAUUUUGAACGUGCUACGGAGGAUAAAGGCAAAAAACGAGAGCAGAAAAGGUGCACGGUGAAGGCGGAAAUGAAGCAGGAUCUGGCUUGCAUCUGGUGCAUAAUUGCUGACACGUUAGUUGCAGUCUACCUCCACCAACAGACAUCUUGACACCACUAAAUCUGCCCUCAAAGUUACAACCUGUGCUUUCAAGGUGGAAAACAAAGGUCGCCAUUCCGGUUAGCUGCUAUCUCCCAGUUCAAGCACUUUUGCUGUCUGGACACUCGUUCCUGUGGAUGGGGUGUUACAAGCUUCACUGUCUGAUAUAGAAGUGAUGAGCAACCAUAAGGGCACAUGCCAGAAAGGGAGUCUCCUUGGGAUGACAAACCCUCAUCACCUCAUGAGGAUACAAUGGUUGACGAAUGGUUCAUGUUCUCAAGCACAUCGAAACUUCAACAAAUAAUUCAUGAAAAGCCAGUCAGUGCUAGGAUCAGGAAUUGAAUGUGGACCGUCCUGCUACCAGUCAGAGAUGUUACAUUUCAGGCACUCAUUGACUUUUGGUGAAUUACUUGUUGACAUUGUCCCAAGGUGGAGCUCGCCACAGCUCAUUUGCCUAUCUGUUAAUGUUGUGGCGUGUGUUGCGUUUUUCUCUUUGUGUGUUCCAGACUCAGAACGGUUAAUUUGGAUCAGGUCAGGUACGUUUCAUUUAGACAUGGCAAACAUAAAGUGGUGUUUCCGAACACAACUUAGCAGUGGCCUUCAUACAUUACUGCUACGGCCAUUAAGCGUGAAUGGAAAGCUGCACAUUAUGCAUGAUGUAAAACCCCAAGACUAGGGAACACGAAGGGACAGACACAAACACGUCCCUUUGUGUUCCCUAGUCUUGUGGUUUUACAUCAUGCAUCAUCUUCACCAGCUCGCUUGCUUCCUAGCCAUUUUUUCUGCACAUUAUGUUCACUCUACUUUUAUCGUGUGCUAUGUAAUAUUGUUCAAGUUCUGUCAAACGAGCGUGUAAUGCUAUAAAAAAAUUCAGUACACUCUUUUUGUGGGUUGAAUGGUAGCACAUGAAUGCAGAAAGGAAACUGUCAUGUUAUGGCAAGUGUUUAUGUAUUGUACAUUUAACUACUAAUUUUAUUGGUUAGCUUUCGCCGGCGUAUGAUGUCAAGCCAUGUUAUAUUAAUUUGGAACAUGUUCUUAGUAGCCAGAGCAGCUGAUACACAGUGAGAACAUAGCCCGUGUGUGUUUGUCUUUUCCACCGCAGCCCUUGAGUUUCCUCCCUGAUGGCUACACAUGUCAGGGAUAGGUUUCAGAACCGAUAUUUCCGGCCAAGUAUGAAUUGCUUUUCAGGGGAUCAUCACCCUGGCAGAUGAAACAUAUGGUUUAAAUUAUUUGCAGGACAGGAAUUGCGUAGCUUCACACAAAUACUACUACUACGACGUAAGAGUGCUUUCAAAUCUAGCUUUUUUGUCUUCCUGACAUUAUCGCACAAAAUGUAGCAUCCACUAUGAUCCUUUAUAUGGGGGGUAUGUACAGUGCAAUCAACAGAUGCUAUUUACAAAUCUGUGUUUCCUACUGUGUUGAAAUGGGAUAGUUUGUAUCUGAGAGCCAUAGUGAAACACAGGCAGCCAAUGACAGACCUUUGAUGCCCUCGAGAAACAUGGCAACACAUUGCAGGGACUCUGGAUGCUGCCUAAAAUUCCAGAACACAGAGCUCAAGGCAGCGGUUAGACAACAAGUGGUUAGAGAAAUCCAAGACAGUUGCAUGUGUAAGCAGUCCGCUGUGGGAUUUGCUUCUGUACGACAUACGUUAUCUCAAAGAGGACGCACGGGCACACUCAGAAUGAUACUAGGGCUGCCUGUGAAAUAGAAUGAGGAGAGGAGGAGAUAUAUAACCCUUUUUUCUUGUCUGUUAUUCUAUUGGUUAAAUUGACACUUGCUUAGCAGCAUAUAUGUGUAUAUUCCAGAGUCUGCUAAUAAAUAUAUCAGUUGAGAGCUAGCAGUCGCAUUGUAGAUGUCUCAUCCUGUCCUUGGCUGCUUGUGUUUCACUAAGGGCAUGCUUGCUAUUGCAAAAACAGGAAACAAAAAAAGACCAUAGAAAAACACGAAAAGAGCGACCUAAAAAGCUGCCUCUUCUAGUGCUCACACGGAGGCAAUGCAAUGAGGUAACAUGCGCCAUUAAUGAACUGUGCAUAGUAGUACAUAUCACAAUGGUAACCGAUUAUUCAGAUUUUUCUUGAAGUACUUUUUUUUUAGCUUUGUUUGCACAGUCUAUUAUUGGAGCUUUAUGUGAUUCCCUUCUUUAGAUACUUUAAGAUUGCUGAUGCUGUGCAGUUUGUUAAUUUUGAAACUGUACUGUGCUGAGGUACAAAAAGAAAAUUGUCAUAUCUGCAUUUGAGUACAUAGGAAUAAUUUGUAAGUACUUUCCUUGUUGACAUUAAUAUUUGCACCAGGUCACAACAUUGUUGAUUGAUGGAAAAUGUAAAUAAGUAUAUUUAUUUGCUUGCCAAACAAUGCACAAAUGUCUUCUUUUCUAGUGAGAUAUUCCCUGUUCACCAGACAUAAAUGUGGAAAAGUUAAAGGGGCACAAUGAUGGUA
This is a long non-coding RNA of Ornithodoros turicata, 2954 nucleotides long. RefSeq lists it as uncharacterized. The transcript has 4 exons. The record is from RefSeq and is a predicted model, not a curated record. Lineage: Eukaryota; Metazoa; Arthropoda; Arachnida; Ixodida; Argasidae.